This 850-nucleotide ribosomal RNA is filed under the name Meloidogyne javanica (root-knot nematode). RNAcentral describes it as "bacterial SSU rRNA". It matches the Rfam family "Eukaryotic small subunit ribosomal RNA", at positions 81 to 944 of the family's 1831-position model. Lineage: Eukaryota; Metazoa; Nematoda; Chromadorea; Rhabditida; Meloidogynidae. The record is from RNAcentral.
AAGUGACCGCCAACGGCUCGUUACAAUGGCCAUUAUUUACUUGAUCUUGGUUGUCUAAAUGGAUAACUGUGGAAAAGCUUCAGCUAAUACAUGCACUAAAGCUUUGUCCUUACGGAAAAGCGCAUUUAUUAUAACAAAACCACGCGGCUUCGGCUGCUUCUUGUUGACUCAGAAUAACUUAACUGACCGCAUGGCCUUGUGCCGGCGGCGUGUCUUUCAAGCGUCCACUUUAUCAACUUGACGGUAUCAUAAUCAACUCCCGGGGUGGUGACGGAGAACGGAGGAUCAGGGUUCUACUCCGGAGAAUGGGCCUGAGAAAUGGCCACUACGUCUACCGAUGGCAACGAGCGCGCAAAUUACCCACUCUCCGCUCCCCGAAGUAGUGACGAUAAAGAACAAAACUGUUCUCUUUGAGGCCGGUCAUCCGAAUGGGUACAAUUUAAACCCUUUAACUACUAUCAAGCAGAGGGCAUGUCUGGUGCCUCCGGCCCCGGUAAUUCCAGCUCUUCCAAUACAUAUAAUUAUUGCUGCGGUUAUAAAGCUCAUAAUUGGAUUCGUAGCAAUACCUUGGAACCCUUCCGGUGUCUCUAGGUGUUAUCCAUUUAUCGUAAUGUUCUCUUUUGACUCCUUAACACGAUUCUUAACAGGCAUUGCAAGUUUACUUUGAACAAAUCAUAGUGCUUCAAACAGGCGUUUUCGCUUGAAUGAUCUCGCAUGAAAUAAUAAAAAAUGAUUUCCGUUCAAUUUUAUUGCUUUUACGGACUGAUAUAAUGGUUAACAGAUACAAACGAGGGCAUUUGUAUGGUCCUCUGAUAUGUGAAAUUCAUGGAACAUGCCCAGACUAACUACA